CUUGGGCCUGCCUUCUAUGUGGAAGUCUGGGAAAGCCGUCAAUAUGGUCAAUGGGAGAAGUGAGAGUUGGUGCCUAGUAAGAAAUGGAUGGAAGGUGAUUCUGAAGAAAUCAUGAGUGCAAGCAGGGAGAACUCCUUGAAUGUUACAUUUUCAUAGCAAGCCCCACCAACAAAUA
Delphinapterus leucas (beluga whale) is the source of this 175-nucleotide non-coding RNA. NCBI's taxonomy places the organism in Eukaryota, Metazoa, Chordata, Mammalia, Artiodactyla, Monodontidae. The record is from RefSeq and is a predicted model, not a curated record.